This 21-nucleotide non-coding RNA is filed under the name Caenorhabditis elegans. Lineage: Eukaryota; Metazoa; Nematoda; Chromadorea; Rhabditida; Rhabditidae. The record is from RNAcentral.
UACAAAACCCUACAUAAAAAU